Molecule: ribosomal RNA, 448 nt
Filed under: uncultured organism
Description: partial 16S ribosomal RNA
Rfam family: Bacterial small subunit ribosomal RNA
Source: RNAcentral
UACACUCCUACGGGAGGCAGCAGUGGGGAAUAUUGGACAAUGGGCGCAAGCCUGAUCCAGCCAUGCCGCGUGAGUGAUGAAGGCCCUAGGGUUGUAAAGCUCUUUCACCGGAGAAGAUAAUGACGGUAUCCGGAGAAGAAGCCCCGGCUAACUUCGUGCCAGCAGCCGCGGUAAUACGAAGGGGGCUAGCGUUGUUCGGAAUUACUGGGCGUAAAGCGCACGUAGGCGGAUCGAUCAGUCAGGGGUGAAAUCCCAGGGCUCAACCCUGGAACUGCCUUUGAUACUGUCGAUCUGGAGUAUGGAAGAGGUGAGUGGAAUUCCGAGUGUAGAGGUGAAAUUCGUAGAUAUUCGGAGGAACACCAGUGGCGAAGGCGGCUCACUGGUCCAUUACUGACGCUGAGGUGCGAAAGCGUGGGGAGCAAACAGGAUUAGAUACCCCAGUAGUCCC